ACCCGCUGAACUUAAGCAUAUCAAUAAGCGGAGGAAAAGAAACCAACAGGGAUUGCCCUAGUAACGGCGAGUGAAGCGGCAACAGCUCAAAUUUGAAAUCUGGCUCUUUUAGAGUCCGAGUUGUAAUUUGCAGAGGGCGCCUUGGCUUUGGCAGCGGUCCAAGUUCCUUGGAACAGGACGUCACAGAGGGUGAGAAUCCCGUACGUGGUCGCUGGCUAUUGCCGUGUAAAGCCCCUUCGACGAGUCGAGUUGUUUGGGAAUGCAGCUCUAAAUGGGAGGUACAUUUCUUCUAAAGCUAAAUAUUGGCCAGAGACCGAUAGCGCACAAGUAGAGUGAUCGAAAGAUGAAAAGCACUUUGGAAAGAGAGUCAAACAGCACGUGAAAUUGUUGAAAGGGAAGCGCUUGCAGCCAGACUUGCUUACAGUUGCUCAUCCGGGCUUUUGCCCGGUGCACUCUUCUGUAGGCAGGCCAGCAUCAGUUUGGGCGGUAGGAUAAAGGUCUCUGUCACGUACCUCUCUUCGGGGAGGCCUUAUAGGGGAGACGACAUACUACCAGCCUGGACUGAGGUCCGCGCAUCUGCUAGGAUGCUGGCGUAAUGGCUGU
RNAcentral lists this ribosomal RNA (603 nucleotides) under uncultured fungus. RNAcentral describes it as "eukaryotic LSU rRNA". It matches the Rfam family "Eukaryotic large subunit ribosomal RNA", at positions 23 to 641 of the family's 3401-position model. Lineage: Eukaryota; Fungi. The record is from RNAcentral.